Long non-coding RNA from Triticum aestivum (bread wheat), 1440 nucleotides. RefSeq lists it as uncharacterized. The transcript is spliced from 5 exons. The record is from RefSeq and is a predicted model, not a curated record. Lineage: Eukaryota; Viridiplantae; Streptophyta; Magnoliopsida; Poales; Poaceae.
AAACCCUUCCCCAAUCACCACAACAGCCGCGAAAGCCGCCGCACCUCUCCUUCCUCCCUCCUUCCUCCUCGUCGUCAGAGCCGCCGCACCUCUCCUUCCUCCCUCCUUCCUCCUCGUCGUCAGAGCCGCCGCACCUCUCCUUCCUCCUCUCCACACCCCUGCCACAGCGCACAUCCCUCCGAUCAUCAAGCCCAACUCCCCUUCCCAUUUCUCCUCCUCCCAGAACCACAUCCCGUCGCUUAGGCUCCAUGGUGGCGGCCUGCUCGAGGUGAGCCUGGUGCAGGCGGGCAGAAGCAGUGGGGCGGCGGAUGCCGGUGGGAGAGUGCUGGACAGGUCCGUCAUUGUCUCCCCACUAAGACGCAUGGAAGAAGGACCAGGAUCUCACCCUCAUCCCUUCUGGAUGCACCUCCCCACGUGAGUUCCUCCUACCUAAUUCAGCUCCCAUUUACAUAUAAUUUCAUUCUUGUUUCACAUGUUGGUUUGGUUGGAAAGAGAUGUUGCGCCACCGACUGCAGUAGCCAGGGUUGGCGUUGGUGAUGUCUAUAGGUUAUGGGAUCGGAUCUCCAUUUUCAAGAUUCUUAGCUGACAAGUAUAUUGUGCGGAAAAAUCUCUGCUGAAUGAUGUUGUGCACAUCCAAAUCCAAGCAAUGCUUUUCUUCUUGGACUGGCUGCUUGACUGGAACACUAGGGCUCGUUGCUUCAUCAAUUUCAUCCACGGAACAUUCGCUUAGGAUAUCAUCCUUAUCACUAUCUACAUUAGAUGCAGACACCCCGAGGAUCAACCUCUGGAAGUUACUGAGCUUCUCGACAUGAUCGGGGUGGAUGGUCAAUGGAAGCGAUAUGAAAUGGAAGACCAUGAUAACACUAAGAUUAUCAGGAAAGGAUUCAGAGCUUUUUCUUAAUCCAGAUUACCACACAUGAUGCAAAAUUAACAACCACGAGUUUGAAAUACGGAUAAUGGUGCUUAUUAUGUGCUAGAAAUCAAAUAUGAAAAGGAGAAGAUAAUGUUUGCGAAGGAGAGGGGAGAGACAUACAGGUUGAUUCUGGGUAAACUUUGCUUAAUUUGUUGGAGAAAAUGCUCGAUAGAUCUCAUGGAUGGACGAGGUUGUGGCACUAGUUCUCGGCUGCAAUAUCUAUCUUGAUCGAUAAGGGCACAUUAGAAGCGGAAGAAGAGGAAACAUUUGGGGUGUGUAUGGCAUUGAACAUUGAGUGCUUCUGUAUUGUGUACAUGCACGACCAGUUCAGUAACUAGAUGGCCUUUUCAACUGUACUGGUGCUGCUAGUUUUCACAUGCUAGCUUCUUUGAAAAGUGCCAACAGUGUGUACAAAAUUUUAAGUCCAUGUUGAAAGAACAGAAGUAGAAGCAGAGUUGAUGUAUUAAAGGCCAGUCAGGGAAUUCAGUCUCGAUGAGCUUAACUAAUGAUGUGUGAGUUGAGCCUUA